CACGUAGGGGACAAGCGUUAUCCGGAUUUACUGGGCGUAAAGCGCCCGUAGGCGGCUUGAUAAGUUGGACGUGAAAGCUCCCGGCUUAACUGGGAGAGGCCGUUCAAAACUGACAGGCUAGAGUGAGGAAGAGGAGAGCGGAAUUCCCGGUGUAGUGGUGGAAUGCGUAGAUAUCGUCAAGAACACCGAUAGUGAAGACAGCUUACCAAGCUUCAACUGACGCUGAGGCACGAAAGUGUGGGGAUCAAACAGG
Molecule: ribosomal RNA, 253 nt
Filed under: uncultured bacterium
Lineage: Bacteria
Description: partial 16S ribosomal RNA
Rfam family: Bacterial small subunit ribosomal RNA
Source: RNAcentral